GACGAACGCUGGCGGCGUGCUUAACACAUGCAAGUCGAGCGAGAAGACGUAGCACUACGUUUGUAAAGCGGCGAACGGGUGAGGAAUACAUGGGUAACCUACCCUCGAGUGGGGAAUAACUAGCCGAAAGGUUAGCUAAUACCGCGUACGCUCCUUGGACUUCGGUUCAGGGAGGAAAGCGAUACCGUGGGUAUCGCGCUCUUGGAUGGGCUCAUGUCCUAUCAGCUUGUUGGUGAGGAACGGCUCACCAAGGCUUCGACGGGUAGCUGGUCUGAGAGGACGAUCAGCCACACUGGCACUGCGACACGGGCCAGACUCCUACGGGAGCAGCAGUAAGGAAUAUUGCGCAAUGGGCGAAAGCCUGACGCAGCGACGCCGCGUGGGGGAUGAAGGUCCUCUGGAUUGUAAACUUCUUUUAUAUGGGGCGAAAAGGGGCUUUCUAGCUCAACUGACGGUACCAUAUGAAUAAGCACCGGCUAACUCCGUGCCAGCAG
RNAcentral lists this ribosomal RNA (494 nucleotides) under uncultured bacterium. Its description in RNAcentral is "bacterial SSU rRNA". It matches the Rfam family "Bacterial small subunit ribosomal RNA", at positions 28 to 514 of the family's 1533-position model. The record is from RNAcentral.